UACUCGAGUGGCGAACGGGUGAGUAACACGUGGGUGAUCUGCCCUGCACUUCGGGAUAAGCUUGGGAAACUGGGUCUAAUACCGGAUAGGAGCCAUCUUUAGUGUGGUGGUUGGAAGGUUUUUUCGGUGUAGGAUGAGCUCGCGGCCUAUCAGCUUGUUGGUGGGGUAAUGGCCUACCAAGGCGGCGACGGGUAGCCGGCCUGAGAGGGUGUACGGCCACAUUGGGACUGAGAUACGGCCCAG
This 243-nucleotide ribosomal RNA is filed under the name uncultured Actinomycetales bacterium. RNAcentral's name for it is "partial 16S ribosomal RNA". It matches the Rfam family "Bacterial small subunit ribosomal RNA", at positions 88 to 334 of the family's 1533-position model. The record is from RNAcentral. Lineage: Bacteria; Bacillati; Actinomycetota; Actinomycetes; Actinomycetales.